AUACUGACCUGGCAGGGGAGAUACCGUGAUCAUGAAGGUGGCUUUCCCAUUGCACUUAUCCAUUGCUGACCGGAUGUGCUGACCCCAGCGGUUUCCCCAAAUGUGAGGGACUGUGUUCGUGCUCUCCCCUG
This is a small nuclear RNA of Myotis lucifugus (little brown bat), 131 nucleotides long. Its record names the gene U1. It matches the Rfam family "U1 spliceosomal RNA". Rfam says of the family: U1 is a small nuclear RNA (snRNA) component of the spliceosome (involved in pre-mRNA splicing). The record is from Ensembl. Lineage: Eukaryota; Metazoa; Chordata; Mammalia; Chiroptera; Vespertilionidae.